Molecule: long non-coding RNA, 784 nt
Organism: Triticum aestivum (bread wheat)
Lineage: Eukaryota; Viridiplantae; Streptophyta; Magnoliopsida; Poales; Poaceae
Exons: 3
Source: RefSeq, a predicted model, not a curated record
GCCGGAGAUCAGGAGGCCGGACCGAAUCCUCGCUGCCGCCGGAGAUCAGGAGGAGGAGGAGGAAGGGAGACCAGCGCGCGGCGGAGCUGGGCUUUCACUCAGGGUGGGUACAGACCGGUCCUUCUGACUCGUGAUGAUAACUCAAGGUUGGGCAGCGGCGGCUGUGGUAGCAAACGGUGGUGGCGGCACAAGAGGAGAUGAGAAGAAGGCGGCUCCAGGGUGUGACGUGGAGGCACUGCGCAAGUGCCUGGAAGAGAACAAGGGUGAUCGCGUCAAGUGCCAGGCCCACAUCGACGCCUUCCGAUCCUCAUGUUCUGUCAGCCCCACCGCCACCUCCAACCAACGUCCCAGCGUACAAAAGGAGGCCUGAAACACUGGAGUUCUUGCUGGGGUGGUUUUACAAAAAACCUUGUGGAAUAAUUAUGAUGAAUGGUGCGACUGCACGAAUGGUCAUGUGAAAGAUAGUAUAAUUAGGACUUAGACUAGCAGUUUUCUUUUUAACUUUCUUUGUCACUGCUGUGUAUGGUAUUUGUUGGUGUGGAAAUAAGCAUUGCCAAAACUCUGAAACUCGAUGUCAACAUAGCGAAUAGCUUAGCUACCAGAAUCACCAUUUUCUUCAGUGAGUCACUUCUUGGAACGGGCCGUGCUGGGCUACUUCACAAUUUGGAGUCUCAAGCUUAGCCUAGUUUUGUCUGGUGUUUUGGAUAAUAUGCACCUGAUUCAAAGAUCUUGUUAGGUGCUUUGUUUUUCCUUGGUAAGUGGUGUUGACAAUUCUAUUUUUUAA